Molecule: ribosomal RNA, 2213 nt
Filed under: Tetra lobulifera
Lineage: Eukaryota; Metazoa; Arthropoda; Arachnida; Trombidiformes; Eriophyidae
Description: partial small subunit ribosomal RNA
Rfam family: Eukaryotic small subunit ribosomal RNA
Source: RNAcentral
UGUAAAGUUCAAGCUCCGAUUUGUGAGGGCGAAACCGCGAAUGGCUCAUUAAAUCAGUCAUAAUCUACUUGAUUGUUUAAAGUUUAUAUGGAUAACUGUGGUAAUUCUAGAGCUAAUACAUGCGUGAAAGGGGCGACUCGUGCAAGCGAGAAGCUUUGCGUUUAUUAGACUAAGACCGGCGUUGGGUCUUCGGACCCAUCUCCAAUAAGGUGACUCUGAGUAAAUAACGGGUGCAAGCCCGUGUUGCCGACCUGGCAUCUCAAACGGUUUAACCACCGGCCAGGCGAAUCAAUCGAGUGUCUGCUCUAUCAACUGUGGAUGGUAGGGUAAUUGCCUACCAUGGUGAUGACGGGUAACGGGGAGUUAGGGCUCGACUCCGGAGAACAAGCCUGAGAAACGGCUAGUAGGACUAAGGUCUGCAGCAGGCGCGAAACUUACACAAUGCUAGAUUAAUGAUAAUUAGCGAUGUAGUGAAGAAAAAUAACGAUGUACUUGCAUUUAAACAUGCUUGUACAAUUGGAAUGAGACGACUUUAAAACAGUUAGUCGAGUAACAAAUGGAGGGCAAGUCUGGUGCCAGCAGCCGCGGUAAUUCCAGCUCCAUUAGCAUACAUUAAAGUUGUUGCGGUUAAAAAGCUCGUAGUUGAAUGUAGUGCGGGUUUUGGCAACGCGUUGCCGUUAAGGGUAGCCUUCGGGUUGCCUGGUUUCGUGGUUUGUUCCAAAGCCCGUUGUUUCGUCACUUAAUCGAGUGCGAAGCGGGUGGGUAUUGCAGAUUUAGCUUCGGCUAAUCACAAGACUCACAAGUUUACCUUGAGAAAAUUAGAGUGCUCAGAGCAGGCAGUUGGGGUGUAAAAGCUCCUUUAUGCUUGAAUAAUGUUGCAUGGAAUAAUAGAAUACGGCCUCGGUUCUAUUCUGUUGGUCUUAUAGAACAACAAACAAGUUGGAUAGCUCACUAAAGGUUUUAGUUAGUUGUGUUUUUAGAAGGUCGUGUUGUUGAGGGUGUAAAAGCCUUUAUACCUCCCUUCUCUAAACAUUAAAGCAACUUUCCAUAAGCUAGAGCUCCUUCCAACUGAGGCAAUGGUUAAAAGAAAUAGUCGCGGCGGCAUCAGUACUGCAUCGUGAGAGGUGAAAUUCUUAGACCGAUGCAAGACUAACUGAAGCGAAAGCGUUUGCCGAGGAUAUUUUCAUUAAUCAAGAACGAAAGUUAGAGGUUCGAAGGCGAUCAGAUACCGCCCUAGUUCUAACCAUAAACGUUGCCAACUAGCAAUUGGGUUGCGAUUCCUUUAGUUGGAGCGUAAAAAACUCCAACCAUUAUGAUCCACCCAGCGGCUCUCGUAGGGAAACCAAAGUGUUUGGGUUCCGGGGGAAGUAUGAUUGCAAAGUUGAAACUUAAAGGAAUUGACGGAAGGGCACCACCAGGAGUGGAGCCUGCGGCUUAAUUUGACUCAACACGGGGAAACUUACUAGAUUAGAACUCUGGAAUGAUUGACAGAUUGAUAGCUCUUUCUUGAUUCAGAGGAUGGUGGUGCAUGGCCGUUCUUGAUUCGUAUUCCGAAACGUCUGCUUAAUUGCGAUAACGAGUGAGACCUCACCCAACUAACUAGUCGGCUGGUGCGCUGUGGGGCGCUCAAGGCGCGUAGUGGGCUCUGUUAAGCGAGGUGGCAACACUGAGUUUAGCUACCAUUGCGCGUUGCCCUCUGCUCGCCGUCGGACUUCUUAGAGGGAUAAACGGUGUUUUAGCCGUAAGAAACGAGGCAAUAACAGGUCUGUGAUGCCCUUAGAUAUUCUAGGCCGCACGCGUGCUACAAUGGCGUGUGCAGAAAGCUUGUUCGAGGUUCGUCCAAGGAGAACUAACAGUUUGGCUUAAUGUUGGGGCAACUCGAUGUUGGGUCGAUUGUCAAGUGACCAUGGUUAGCGAGCUAAGAGAAACCGCGGUUGAAAAAUCGUGGCAAUCAUAAAUACACGCCGUGAUUUGGGAUUGGGGAUUGCAAUUGUUGCCCAUGAACGAGGAAUUCCCAGUAAGCGCAAUUCAUCAUAUUGCGUUGAUUACGUCCCUGCCCUUUGUACACACCGCCCGUCGCUACUACCGAUUGGAAGUUUUAGUGAGGCAUCUGGACUCGUCGGCCAUUGGUGGGGCAACCCUCCUCGGCCUGGUGGGGAAGUUUGUCGAACUCAAAUUUCUAGAGGAAGUAAAAGUCGUAACAAGGUUUCCGU